This 507-nucleotide small RNA is filed under the name Pan troglodytes (chimpanzee). RNAcentral describes it as "processed transcript". The record is from RNAcentral. Lineage: Eukaryota; Metazoa; Chordata; Mammalia; Primates; Hominidae.
ACCCGGGUAACGGGUCCCGGCUGUGGAAGCUCCCGCGGCGCCGCGAUGGACCUCGAGGAGGCGGAAGAGUUUAAAGAACGCUGUGCUCAGUGUGCUGCUGUCUCAUGGGGUCUUACUGAUGAAGGCAAAUAUUAUUGCACUUCUUGCCACAAUGUUACAGAGAGAUAUCAGGAAGUUACAAACACUGAUCUUAUUCCUAAUACCCAAAUAAAAGCCCUCAACCGGGGGCUUAAAAAAAAAAACAAUACUGAAAAAGGCUGGGAUUGGUAUGUGUGUGAAGGUUUCCAGUACAUUCUUUAUCAACAAGCAGAAGCCUUAAAGAACCUUGGAGUAGGCCCAGAGUUAAAGGGAAUGUCUUGUGUGUUAUUCACAAUUUGAGAACAAAAUCGUUUGGUGUAUGUACAUAACGUCUAUCAGGACUUGAGUUCCACAGAAUGCACUUUGGACAGUGAUAUGCUAAACCAGUCGUUCACCUGAGUGUGCAUCAGAAUCACCUGGAGUGCUUGA